This is a long non-coding RNA of Electrophorus electricus (electric eel), 625 nucleotides long. The record is from Ensembl. Lineage: Eukaryota; Metazoa; Chordata; Actinopteri; Gymnotiformes; Gymnotidae.
AAGUCCCUUGGUUUGUUCAAAUAAACACUUUGCCUGGUCACUGUGCCUAUCUCCCCACAGAAGUAGAAAUACUGGACUGGAGCACAUUUGGAAGGCUGACCUGGAGACAUGCCAACUUCUUCCACAAGGUUGUGAGCUACAUGCCCUGAGCUGUUCUAAAACUGAGGAUCACCUCCCUACUCCAGCACCACGUCACAAAGCUCUGCCAUUCGCCAAGUCUAAAGCAGUGUGUGCCAUGCUCACUGCUCUGGGAGAAUUCUGUAGUCCUGAAGUGAACCUGCAACAAUCUGAAUUCACUAAGGAUCUAUGCAGUGAGGGAAUGGACCUGACAGAACAUUGUAAGUUCAUCAGUAAAAGGCUGCUGUCUUUGGAAGAGCAUCUACAAGCUGCCAUGCAUAACUAUGAUCAAGAUCUCACUACCUUAGAAAAGGAAGUACAGGAGGUAAAGACCACUCUACAAAAGAUGUUAUCUCAACUCAAGGAAAAUAAUGAAGAUGAAGAGGAACAUCCAGCUUCAGUGUCCAGCAGUAGUCUGCCAACACCAUUGGGGAUCCACUUUCCUUGGUACAUAUGAAUAUAAAAAAUAAAAACUAUGGGUGAUGGAAUAAUUCUGAAUCAAAGCAAU